UAGGGAAUCUUCGGCAAUGGACGAAAGUCUGACCGAGCAACGCCGCGUGAGUGAAGAAGGUUUUCGGAUCGUAAAACUCUGUUGUUAGAGAAGAACAAGGACGUUAGUAACUGAACGUCCCCUGACGGUAUCUAACCAGAAAGCCACGGCUAACUACGUGCCAGCAGCCGCGGUAAUACGUAGGUGGCAAGCGUUGUCCCGAUUUAUUGGGCGUAAAGCGAGCGCAGGCGGUUUCUUAAGUCUGAUGUGAAAGCCCCCGGCUCAACCGGGGAGGGUCAUUGGAAACUGGGAGACUUGAGUGCAGAAGAGGAGAGUGGAAUUCCAUGUGUAGCGGUGAAAUGCGUAGAUAUAUGGAGGAACACCAGUGGCGAAGGCGGCUCUCUGGUCUGUAACUGACGCUGAGGCUCGAAAGCGUGGGGAGCAAACAGG
Molecule: ribosomal RNA, 429 nt
Filed under: Gemmatimonadota bacterium
Lineage: Bacteria; Pseudomonadati; Gemmatimonadota
Description: Gemmatimonadetes bacterium partial 16S ribosomal RNA
Rfam family: Bacterial small subunit ribosomal RNA
Source: RNAcentral